UCAGGAUGAACGCUGGCGGCGUGCCUAACACAUGCAAGUCGAACGGGGUUACUGGCAGCGGAGAUUCGGUCAAAGCAGCCUUUAAUCUAGUGGCGGACGGGUGAGUAACGCGUGGGGAACCUGCCCUGUACUGGGGGAUAACAGUGAGAAAUCACUGCUAAUACCGCAUAAGCGCACAGCAUCGCAUGAUGCAGUGUGAAAAACUGAGGUGGUACAGGAUGGCUCCGCGUUGGAUUAGCCAGUUGGCGGGGUAACGGCCCACCAAAGCGACGAUCCAUAGCCGGCCUGAGAGGGUGAACGGCCACAUUGGGACUGAGACACGGCCCAGACUCCUACGGGAGGCAGCAGUGGGGAAUAUUGCACAAUGGGGGAAACCCUGAUGCCAGCGACGCCGCGUGAAGGAAGAAGUAUCUCGGUAUGUAAACUUCUAUCAGCAGGGAAGAUGAUGACGGUACCUGACUAAGAAGCCCCGGCUAACUACGUGCCAGCCGCCGC
This 495-nucleotide ribosomal RNA is filed under the name uncultured bacterium. RNAcentral describes it as "bacterial SSU rRNA". It matches the Rfam family "Bacterial small subunit ribosomal RNA", at positions 24 to 518 of the family's 1533-position model. The record is from RNAcentral.